RNAcentral lists this ribosomal RNA (1955 nucleotides) under marine metagenome. RNAcentral describes it as "bacterial LSU rRNA". It matches the Rfam family "Bacterial large subunit ribosomal RNA", at positions 3 to 1998 of the family's 2925-position model. The record is from RNAcentral.
UCAAGCGAAUAAGAGCUUACGACGGAUACCUUGGUGUUCAGAAGCGAUGAAGGGCGUGGCUACCAACGAAAUGUUUCGGGGAACUGGAAGCAAGUUUUGAUCCGAAAAUUCCCGAAUAAGGAAACUUCAUGAACUACUUCUUGAAUUCAUAAAGAAGAAAGAGCAAACCUAGUGAAUUGAAACAUCUUAGUAACUAGAGGAAAAGAAAGCAAAAGCGAUUCCCUGAGUAGCGGCGAGCGAAAUGGGACCAGUCUAAACUCUAUUUUUUAGAGGGUUGUGGGACAAUGUUAAUAAAGUCAAUAAGUUAGGUGAAGCAGCUGGAAUACUGCACCAAAGAGAGUGAAAGUCUCGUAUUCGAAAACUAUUAUAGCUUUAAAUUGUAUCCCAAGUAGGAAGGGACACGUGAAACCCCUUUUGAAUUUGCGAGGACCACCUCGUAAGACUAAAUAUUCCUGAAUAACCGAUAGUGAACCAGUACCGUGAGGGAAAGGUGAAAAGAACCCCGGGAGGGGAGUGAAAUAGAACAUGAAAUCGUAAGUUUACAAGCAGUAGAAGAGCGACUUAACGCUCGACUUCGUGCCUGUUGAAGAAUGAGCUGGCGACUUGUAGGCUAUGGCAAGGUUAAAAUAAGAAAAUAUUGGAGCCAGAGUGAAAGCGAGCUUGAUAAGAGCGUUAAGUCAUAGUUUACAGACCCGAACCCGGAUGAUCUAACCAUGGCCAGUGUGAAGCUUAGGUAACACUAAGUGGAGGUACGAACCGACUGUUGUUGAAAAAACAGCGGAUGAGUUGUGGUUAGGGGUGAAAUUCCAAUCGAAUCCGGAGCUAGCUGGAUCUCCCCGAAAUGCGUUGAGGCGCAGCGACUAAUAUUUCUUUUUAGGGGUAAAGCUACUGUUUUGGUGCGGGCUGCGAGAGCGGUACCAAAUCAAGGCAAACUCUGAAUACUAAAAUGUUUAAUUAGUUAGUGAGACAUUGGGGGAUAAGCUUCAAUGUCAAGAGGGAAACAGCCCAGAUUACCAGUUAAGGCCCCUAAAUAAUUACUAAGUGAUAAAGGAGGUGGGAGUGCAUAGACAAUCAGGAGGUUUGCUUAGAAGCAGCAAUCCUUUAAAGAGUGCGUAAUAGCUCACUGAUCGAGUAAACCUGCGCCGAAAAUGUAUGGGACUAAGUAAUUUGCCGAAACUGUGCGAUAUAUAUUUAUAUAUCGGUAGGGGAGCGUUCUGUUGUAGGUCGAAGUAUUAGCGUAAGCGGAUAUGGACGAAGCAGAAGUGAGAAUGUCGGCUUGAGUAACGAAAAUAUAGGUGAGAAUCCUAUACCCCGAAAACCCAAGGUUUCCUCCGGAAGGCUCGUCCGCGGAGGGUAAGUCAGGACCUAAGGCGAGGCUGAAAAGCGUAGUCGAUGGACAACGGGUUAAUAUUCCCGUACCAUUUUUUAUUGAUAUCGAGGGACGGAGAAGGCUAAGCUAGCCGGAUAUUGGUUUUACCGGUUUAAACGUUCGAGAUGUUGAGAAGCGGAGAAAACGCUUUGAGUUGAGACGUGAAUACGAGACGCUAAGGCGUCGAAGUAGUGUAUGUCAUACUUCCAAGAAAAGCUUGCACUGUCAUAGAUAAAAAAUGCCUGUACCAUAACCGACACAGGUGGGUAGGUAGAGUAUACUAAGGGGCGCGAGAUAACUCUCUCUAAGGAACUCGGCAAAAUAACUCCGUAACUUCGGGAGAAGGAGUGCCUUAUUUAUAAGGUUGCAAUAACAAGAUCCAAGCAACUGUUUAUCAAAAACACAGGUCUCCGCUAAGUCGUAAGACGAUGUAUGGGGGCUGACGCCUGCCCAGUGCCAGAAGGUUAAAGAAGUUGGUUAGCAAUUGCGAAGCUGAUAACUGAAGCCCUGGUGAACGGCGGCCGUAACUAUAACGGUCCUAAGGUAGCGAAAUUCCUUGUCGGGUAAGUUCCGACCCGCACGAAAG